Molecule: ribosomal RNA, 573 nt
Filed under: uncultured bacterium
Lineage: Bacteria
Description: bacterial SSU rRNA
Rfam family: Bacterial small subunit ribosomal RNA
Source: RNAcentral
CCUACGGGAGGCAGCAGUAAGGAAUAUUGGACAAUGGGCGCAAGCCUGAUCCAGCCAUGCCGCGUGAAGGAUUAAGGUCCUCUGGAUUGUAAACUUCUUUUAUAGGGGACGAAAAAAGGGCAUUCUUGCUCACUUGACGGUACCCUAUGAAUAAGCACCGGCUAACUCCGUGCCAGCAGCCGCGGUAAUACGGAGGGUGCAAGCGUUAUCCGGAUUCACUGGGUUUAAAGGGUGCGUAGGCGGGCAGUUAAGUCAGUGGUGAAAUCUCCGAGCUCAACUCGGAAACUGCCAUUGAUACUAUCUGUCUUGAAUAUUGUGGAGGUAAGCGGAAUAUGUCAUGUAGCGGUGAAAUGCUUAGAUAUGACAUAGAACACCUAUUGCGAAGGCAGCUUACUACGCAUAUAUUGACGCUGAGGCACGAAAGCGUGGGGAUCAAACAGGAUUAGAUACCUGGUAGUCACGCCCUAAACGAUGGAUACUCGACAUACGCGAUACACUGUGUGUGUCUGAGCGAAGCAUUAGUAUCCCACUGGAAGUACGUCCGCAAGGAUGAAACUUAAAGGAAUUAGACGG